CGUGAGCAAUCUGCCCUUGACUCUGGGAUAACUGGCGGGAAACUGUAGCUAAUACCGGAUACGACACCGUUGGGGCAUCCCCAGGGUGUGGAAAGAAUUUCGGUCAAGGAUGAGCUCGCGGCCUAUCAGCUAGUUGGUGAGGUAAUGGCUCACCAAGGCGACGACGGGUAGCCGGCCUGAGGAGGGUGACCGGCCACACUGGAACUGAGACACGGUCCAGACUCCUACGGGGAGGCAGCAGGUGGGGAAUAUUGCACAAUGGACGAAAGUCUGAUGCAGCAACGCCGCGUGAGGGAUGAAGGCCUUCGGGUUGUAAACCUCUUUUAGCAGGGAAGAAGCGAAAGUGACGGUACCUGCAGAAAAAGCACCGGCUAACUACGUG
This 382-nucleotide ribosomal RNA is filed under the name uncultured bacterium. RNAcentral describes it as "bacterial SSU rRNA". It matches the Rfam family "Bacterial small subunit ribosomal RNA", at positions 116 to 507 of the family's 1533-position model. The record is from RNAcentral.